CACCAACCUUCCCUCGGCCGAAGGUUGCACUCGUGAGUGAACAGUUCAAGCUCCUCUGUGACUUCUGCAGGGAGCUGUCGCUGUGUCUCUGCUUCGAUUUAUCAAAGCAGCUGUUAGGGGCGUCCCUCACCUCCCUGUUUGGGGGCUGCCUGUUCUGCAGGAGCGAGAACCUCCCCUCCUCAGUUUUAGGCUAGGUGUAGACCAGAUAAAGGUUGCUUGCAGAGCUUCAUAUUCUCCACUUGUCUUUUCUUGCUUGCCUCCUCCCCUGCCAACUCUGUAGACCAAUAUCAGGGUCUUGCUGUGUACCUAGACUGGCUUAGAACUUAAGAUCUUCCUUCCUCCUUCUCCCAAGUGCUGUGAUUACAGGCAUGUACCACCAUGCCUGGCUGACAUCUUUUGUUUAAGCAACUAGAUUUCUUUCACAUGGAACAUAAAGAGCCUGAACUGACAUAUUUUUUUGAGCUUGGAACCAGGAACACCCUUACCAACAGGAACUAUGGCUGUCGUUUAUUCACAUGGAAUACAAUCACAAUUUGUCAGGGAAAAAAAAAUGCUAACUGCCUGAGAGUUGGUGAGUUUUUCCUUUAACAUCCCUCUACUAGUACUAAUUCACUUCUUACUUGUGAGUUUCUAAGAGCAGAGAGGUUGGCAGGAGCUAAAAAGUCUAAGCUGUGAAAAAAAUUAAGUGUGAAAUCAUAAAUCUACUAACUUAUUUUAUAGACAAAUUGCAAAGUAAUUUCCUGGGAACCAUUGUCCCAGUACAGUGAUUCCUAGAAGGGAUUCCCAAUUUGUAUUAUUUUUCAAAUAAUUUUUCAAAUACUUGAUACAAAUACAUGACCUAAAAUUCAAAAGGUAUAUACAAAAGGGCACACCUAUGUGUCAUUGCAGCUUCCCAGUUGCCCUCCUUAAAGGAAACCACCAUUAUCAGUAUCUUGUAUGUCCCUCCAGAGAUAUUCUAUGGUAGCACUGUCCAUCAGAACUGUAAUGAUGAUGUAAUCCCAGCUGCUCAGGAAGCAGAGAUCAUGAGGAUCACAGUUUGAGGCCAGACUGGGCAAAAAGUUAAUGAGCCCCCCCAUCUCAACAAAUAAGCUGGGUGUGGUGGUUGGUGCCUUGGUCCCACCUUAAUGGGAGGCAUAGGUAGAAGGAUUGCAGUCUAAGGCUGGCAUCAGGCAACAAGUGCGAGACCCUAUCCAAAAAUUAACAAAAGAAAAAGCUGGGGUUAUGGGCUUAAGCAGUAGACCUAGCAAGUGCUAGCCUGAGUUUAAACCCUUGGACUGCUAAAAAGAGAACCGUAUAAUGAUGAAAAUGUCUAACCAUUGCUGUUCAAUAUUGCAGUCACUAGCCAGGCACAUGUGGCUAUUGAGCAAUGGAAAUUUGGCUAGUGUGACUUAGGUGCUGACUUUUAAAUUUUAAUUUGUAUUAAUUUAAAUUUAUAUUUAAAUAUUGAUAUGUGGCUAGUGAUUACUAUAUUGGGACCCCAAUUUUGUACAGAUAAUACACAACACACAGUCACGUACGAUGCACAUUAUACUAGCCUUGCUUCAUUCACUUACCAGUGCCUAAGUACCAUGGAGAUAGAUUUUUCAAAACUACUACAAAACAUCUGUUGUAAUUCGUGAGGGCAAUCUUGGAGAGCCAUGGGCCAUCACUUUUUAUAGCAAGCUCCAAACUCUCCAACAUAUAUAAUGAAGACACCUCACAGCACUCCUAGGUUCCCCAUCCCCCCACUUUUACCACCUUGGGUUUGGGGGGGCUUUGAAUAGUCCCUUUUGGGAACUGGGGGGAAAAUUUACCAUGAGUCACUGCCCUAAAACACAUUCUCUGCCCACAUGGCCUAUGCCUGAUGGUGGCAGCAUUCUUUAGGGUUCAUCACAGCUCUUUAAGUGAUUCUCCUUUUAAAAAAUCAAAGUCUCUGGGGAAGAUAGCAAUUAAGGUAGAAUGUCUGGGCCUAAACUUGGAUUUUUGCCUGAUGAGAGUGGCCAAGGGGCUUUGAGGAGCAUGGGGACUUUGUCGGGGAAUCUCACUGUGUUGAGCCAUGAGGAUCCCUGACUAAGUUUGUGCCUUUAUUUUUUUAUGGCACUGGGGUUUGGACUCAGGGCCUCAAGCUUGCUAGGUAGGUGCUCUUAGCACUUCAGCCAUUCUGCCAGCACUUUUU
Non-coding RNA from Castor canadensis (American beaver), 2155 nucleotides. The record is from RefSeq and is a predicted model, not a curated record. NCBI's taxonomy places the organism in Eukaryota, Metazoa, Chordata, Mammalia, Rodentia, Castoridae.